RNAcentral lists this ribosomal RNA (497 nucleotides) under uncultured bacterium. Its description in RNAcentral is "partial 16S ribosomal RNA". It matches the Rfam family "Bacterial small subunit ribosomal RNA", at positions 28 to 507 of the family's 1533-position model. The record is from RNAcentral.
GAUGAACGCUGGCGGCGUGCCUAAUACAUGCAAGUCGAGCGAACAGACGAGGAGCUUGCUCCUCUGACGUUAGCGGCGGACGGGUGAGUAACACGUGGAUAACCUACCUAUAAGACUGGGAUAACUUCGGGAAGCCGGAGCUAAUACCGGAUAAUAUAUUGAACCGCAUGGUUCAAUAGUGAAAGACGGUUUUGCUGUCACUUAUAGAUGGAUCCGCGCCGCAUUAGCUAGUUGGUAAGGUAACGGCUUACCAAGGCAACGAUGCGUAGCCGACCUGAGAGGGUGAUCGGCCACACUGGAACUGAGACACGGUCCAGACUCCUACGGGAGGCAGCAGUAGGGAAUCUUCCGCAAUGGGCGAAAGCCUGACGGAGCAACGCCGCGUGAGUGAUGAAGGUCCUCGGAUCGUAAAACUCUGUUAUUAGGGAAGAACAAAUGUGUAAGUAACUAUGCACGUCUUGACGGUACCUAAUCAGAAAGCCACGGCUAACUACGUG